This 253-nucleotide ribosomal RNA is filed under the name uncultured Acidobacteriota bacterium. Its description in RNAcentral is "uncultured Acidobacteria bacterium partial 16S ribosomal RNA". It matches the Rfam family "Bacterial small subunit ribosomal RNA", at positions 524 to 776 of the family's 1533-position model. Lineage: Bacteria; Pseudomonadati; Acidobacteriota. The record is from RNAcentral.
UACAGAGGUGGCAAGCGUUGUUCGGAAUUACUGGGCGUAAAGGGCGCGUAGGCGGCCGCCUAAGUCAGACGUGAAAUCCCCCGGCUUAACCUGGGAACUGCGUCUGAUACUGGGUGGCUUGAGUUCGGGAGAGGGAUGCGGAAUUCCAGGUGUAGCGGUGAAAUGCGUAGAUAUCUGGAGGAACACCGGUGGCGAAGGCGGCAUCCUGGACCGAGACUGACGCUGAGGCGCGAAAGCCAGGGGAGCAAACGGG